AUUGAACGCUGGCGGCAGGCCUAACACAUGCAAGUCGAGCGGAUGAAGGGAGCUUGCUCCUGGAUUCAGCGGCGGACGGGUGAGUAAUGCCUAGGAAUCUGCCUGGUAGUGGGGGAUAACGUCCGGAAACGGGCGCUAAUACCGCAUACGUCCUGAGGGAGAAAGUGGGGGAUCUUCGGACCUCACGCUAUCAGAUGAGCCUAGGUCGGAUUAGCUAGUUGGUGGGGUAAAGGCCUACCAAGGCGACGAUCCGUAACUGGUCUGAGAGGAUGAUCAGUCACACUGGAACUGGGACACGGUCCAGACUCCUACGGGAGGCAGCAGUGGGGAAUAUUAGACAAUGGGCGAAAGCCUGAUCCAGCCAUGCCGCGUGUGUGAAGAAGGUCUUCGGAUUGUAAAGCACUUUAAGUUGGGAGGAAGGGCAGUAAGUUAAUACCUUGCUGUUUUGACGUUACCAACAGAAUAAGCACCGGCUAACUUCGUG
This 484-nucleotide ribosomal RNA is filed under the name uncultured bacterium. Its description in RNAcentral is "partial 16S ribosomal RNA". It matches the Rfam family "Bacterial small subunit ribosomal RNA", at positions 30 to 507 of the family's 1533-position model. The record is from RNAcentral.